This 441-nucleotide ribosomal RNA is filed under the name uncultured bacterium. RNAcentral's name for it is "partial 16S ribosomal RNA". It matches the Rfam family "Bacterial small subunit ribosomal RNA", at positions 338 to 795 of the family's 1533-position model. The record is from RNAcentral.
CCUACGGGGGGCAGCAGUGGGGAAUAUUGCACAAUGGGGGAAACCCUGAUGCAGCGACGCCGCGUGAGUGAAGAAGUAUUUCGGUAUGUAAAGCUCUAUCAGCAGGAACGAGACAAGACGGUACCUGACUAAGAAGCCCCGGCUAACUACGUGCCAGCAGCCGCGGUAAUACGUAGGGGGCAAGCGUUAUCCGGAAUCACUGGGUGUAAAGGGAGCGUAGACGGCUGUGCAAGCCUGAAGUGAAAGGCGGGGGCCCAACCCCCGGACUGCUCUGGAAACUAGGUGACUGGAGUGCAGGAGAGGUGAGCGGAAUUCCUAGUGUAGCGGUGAAAUGCGUAGAUAUUAGGAGGAACACCAGUGGCGAAGGCGGCUCACUGGACUGUAACUGACGUUGAGGCUCGAAAGCGUGGGGAGCAAACAGGAUUAGAUACCCGGGUAGUC